AAAUUGAAGAGUUUGAUCAUGGCUCAGAUUGAACGCUGGCGGCAGGCCUAACACAUGCAAGUCGAACGGUAACAGGAAGAAGCUUGCUUCUUUGCUGACGAGUGGCGGACGGGUGAGUAAUGUCUGGGAAACUGCCUGAUGGAGGGGGGUAACUACUGGAAACGGUAGCUAAUACCGCAUAACGUCG
This 187-nucleotide ribosomal RNA is filed under the name Escherichia coli. Its description in RNAcentral is "partial 16S ribosomal RNA". It matches the Rfam family "Bacterial small subunit ribosomal RNA", at positions 1 to 181 of the family's 1533-position model. The record is from RNAcentral. Lineage: Bacteria; Pseudomonadati; Pseudomonadota; Gammaproteobacteria; Enterobacterales; Enterobacteriaceae.